GACGAACGCUGGCGGCGUGCUUAAUACAUGCAAGUCGAACGAAGUGGCGAACGGGUGAGUAACGCGUAAUCAACCUGCCCUUCAGAGGGGGACAACAGUUGGAAACGACUGCUAAUACCGCAUACUGAAGGUGGGGAUUGCGUCUGAUUAGCAAGUUGGAGGGGUAAAGGCCCACCAAGGCGAUGAUCAGUAGCCGGGCUGAGAGGAUGAACGGCCACAAUUGGACUGGGACACGGCCCAGACGCCUACGGGAGGCAGCAGUGGGGAAUCUUCCGCAAUGGACGAAAGUCUGACGGAGCAACGCCGCGUGAGUGAUGACGGCCUUCGGGUUGUAAAGCUCUGUUAAUCGGGACGCGGUACCGGAAUAGAAAGCCACGGCUAACUACGUGCCAGCAGCCGCGGUAAUAC
RNAcentral lists this ribosomal RNA (408 nucleotides) under uncultured bacterium. RNAcentral describes it as "partial 16S ribosomal RNA". It matches the Rfam family "Bacterial small subunit ribosomal RNA", at positions 28 to 526 of the family's 1533-position model. The record is from RNAcentral.